RNAcentral lists this ribosomal RNA (704 nucleotides) under Rothia sp. (in: high G+C Gram-positive bacteria). RNAcentral describes it as "Rothia sp. (human oral metagenome) partial 23S ribosomal RNA". It matches the Rfam family "Bacterial large subunit ribosomal RNA", at positions 1436 to 2211 of the family's 2925-position model. Lineage: Bacteria; Bacillati; Actinomycetota; Actinomycetes; Micrococcales; Micrococcaceae. The record is from RNAcentral.
UUCCAGUACCUUACUAAAUCAGAAAUGUGGGGACACAUGGAGAAAGAGAGAGCCGGGAAUGAGAAGACCGGUGCAAGGGAGGUAGGAGUGUAGUAGGAAAAACCGCUAUACAAUCUGAAGACCUGAUGCGGAUCGAAAUGAAGUAGAGAAGCUCUUUGACUCUGUGGCGAGAAAAGCCGCUAUAGUGUUUAGUAAGCCCGUACCGCAAACCGACACAGGUAGAUGAGGAGAGAAUCCUAAGGCCGGCGGGAGAAGCAUUGUUAAGGAACUCGGCAAAAUGACCCCGUAACUUCGGGAGAAGGGGUGCCCAGGCAACUGGGCCGCAGAGAAAAGGCUCAAGCAACUGUUUAGCAAAAACACAGGUCUAUGCGAAACCGUAAGGUAAAGUAUAUGGGCUGACGCCUGCCCGGUGCCGGAAGGUUAAGAGGNNNNNNNNNNCGGUCCUAAGGUAGCGAAAUUCCUUGUCGGGUAAGUUCCGACCCGCACGAAAGGCGUAAUGAUUUGAGCGCUGUCUCAACAAUGCACCCGGUGAAAUUGAAGUACCAGUGAAGAUGCUGGUUACCCGCGCCAGGACGGAAAGACCCCAUGGAGCUUUACUCCAGCUUGAUACUGGGAUUCGGUAAUACUCGUACAGGAUAGGUGGGAGACAUAGAAGCAUGGACGCCAGUUUAUGCAGAGUCGCCGUUGGGAUACCACCCCUGUAU